This is a non-coding RNA of Ciona intestinalis (vase tunicate), 1141 nucleotides long. The record is from RefSeq and is a predicted model, not a curated record. Lineage: Eukaryota; Metazoa; Chordata; Ascidiacea; Phlebobranchia; Cionidae.
GUGUCGUAUCGCACGUCGUAAUAAAAUAAAUUCAGCUGGAAGCUGCACGUGUUUAUCAGAAGUGCUGAGCAGAGUAGUAUUUUAUUCUAGAAUUAUUUUUUUAUACUGCGAGACACCAAUGGCAUAAUAUAAUUCGUAUACAAGUGUAAAAUUGAGCGUGAGAAGCUGUUUUUAGUACAACAAGAAAUGACUGUUGAACAGUGAUAUCAAUCAUGCUCCAACAAACAAACAAAAGACAAAAAGAACAUACACAACACUGAAAGUACAUGAAAAUUAAGAAGCUGCUGAAAAAUGAAUUUCACAGGCAGCACAGGUAUAAAAAUGGUUUUGUUUAAACCAGUCUUUGCAUGUAUUAAUUGUCUCCAUUAAUUGCAGUUCAAUUUUGCCUAAUGAGAUGGAAUAAUAUUAGAAGUACAUAUGUUCGAAAACAUAAACAAGUACAGAAGUACCAAGUAAGUCAGAUUCUAAAGCACCGGAAACUUGGCCGUAUUUUAAGCAACUACACUUUUAAGACAGCUUCAUAAAAUACAAAAGGUAUAUAUAGAAUUUAUAUCAGUUCGCAAGUGUCAACUGAUUUUGCAUACUUCAUUUGCAACACCAAAGAUAAUUUUCCAAUUAAUAAAGAAGCUCACAGCUCAGCAACAAACAUCACUCAAUGUGAAAGCCCUGCUGUUGCAGGAUGAUAUGAUCUUUUUACUGGAUACAGAGCCAGUAGAUAGCCACCAAACAGUUAUGUCCACUGAAACAGAGCCUUUUAAGAUUGUCCGGCGCCGCGGCGAAGUGGUUAGCGCGCCUGCCUGUAACCAUUAGAUAAUGGGUUCAAGGCUCGUCGCUGCUACCAUUGUGGGCGUAUGUGUCCUUGGGCAAGACACUUAACGACAAUUGCUCCAUUAAUGGGUUGUCCAAAUUAUCAGCCAUACAUCAAAAAAUAAAAAAAAAUCCCCCAAAAAUAAUCACCCACAAUUAUGGGAUAUGUAAAGAUAGACGUAGGUAUUUAAUACCUCACUUUAACAUAAUGGAAUAUAAAAAAAUCCUUGUGAUUCAGGCGAAAAUAACUGUACUGAUUGCACAGAGUGAUGCUGAACCAGAAUAACAAAUUGAAAAUGGGACUUUACAGUGUAAAUAUGUACAUAUGUUAUUU